CCAACUUGGGCUCAGUCCAGUCCGGUUUGGCCCAGUUGGGCAAUACCCCCAUGGGCCCAACUUGGAUCCAGAUCAAACCCGAGAAUCCGAACCCGAACCCGAACCCGAACCCAAACCUGAGCCCAAACCUGAACCUGAACUGGAACCCGAACCCGAAACCCGGGAUCCGAAACCCAAACCCAUUUGACCAAUAAACAGAUUUUUUGCAGUUAAGCCCUUGGCAGUAUGCUAUUUCAGAAAUAGGGACUCCUGUAAUUUGUAUUUGAUCCCUAUAGGAAAGAUUUAUUACAUAAAGGCCCCCAACUAUAUUUAUUUAGUCCCCUCACCCAAGUUUUAUUAUAGAAUAGUACCCUGUAAUUAAGUAUUAGUCCCUGCAAUAAAUCUUAUUGUAUAAAUGAACAAAUUAGAAGCCAACUUUGGGGGCCCUAUUUAGCCGAGUCUAUGCGGGCCCAUUGGGCCGAGUCCGAUAUGGGCCCUAUCAGGCCGUGCCCAUUAUGGGCCAACUUUGGGCUCUGUUGGGCCAUGUCCAAUAGUAUUAUUUUUAAAUUUUGCUUAGUCUGAAAUUAACAAGAAAUUAAUUAAACUUUAACAGGUGAACCUGAUCCGUCUACCUGAAGUAGGAAUCAAGCGAGAAGAAGUAAGUAACUUAAUACUUCAAGUGUGAUUUCUAAAUUAUUUAAUAAACUGAUUAUGUUUUGAUAUAUGUUUUGCAUUCAGUAAAAUGGGU
RNAcentral lists this long non-coding RNA (727 nucleotides) under Phoenix dactylifera (date palm). Its description in RNAcentral is "long non-coding RNA (PDAC_LNC015470)". Lineage: Eukaryota; Viridiplantae; Streptophyta; Magnoliopsida; Arecales; Arecaceae. The record is from RNAcentral.